Uranotaenia lowii is the source of this 121-nucleotide small nucleolar RNA. RefSeq annotates it as small nucleolar RNA SNORA26. The transcript has a single exon. NCBI's taxonomy places the organism in Eukaryota, Metazoa, Arthropoda, Insecta, Diptera, Culicidae. The record is from RefSeq and is a predicted model, not a curated record.
GUUCGGUAGGGAGAUGUUUUUUUUCCUUUAAAUGUACAUAUGUUGGCAAAAAAUGUAACUACCCAACAUCUUCAGAAGAAGCUGUAAUGUUCCUCUUCAGAUGGUUUCGGUAGCUAUCGCU